This is a long non-coding RNA of Poecile atricapillus (Black-capped chickadee), 1804 nucleotides long. RefSeq lists it as uncharacterized. The record is from RefSeq and is a predicted model, not a curated record. The transcript has 2 exons. NCBI's taxonomy places the organism in Eukaryota, Metazoa, Chordata, Aves, Passeriformes, Paridae.
CAAGUGUUGCUGGUGGAACAGUGGCCCCGCAGCGGGGACACUGUACCCCCCGACCCGGUGCUUCUGCCCAGCAUCCCACGCUGCACUGUGCCACUGUCGGGGCCCUGGGACGCCCACACUGGCAAUGCUGCUGAGCUCAGGGGCUCCAAACCCUCCUGGGCUGGAAACGGGGCGAACCGGGAGUGCAGCCCAGCAAGCACGGCACAGGCAGGGAGUGCGGCACGGUGUGUCCCGUUCCCAGCCCCGGGCUGUGGUUAAGGAGCCUGGGAUAAGCCCCGAGACAGCAGCCGCCUUGCUCGGCCGCCAGCCGUGUGGAGGCGGAGGAGCCGCAGCAGCCGAGGGGUUAAGCAGAGUCAGACCAGACAGAUCGUGGGGCUGUGCCGGGCUCUGCAGCUCGCUGCAGGAAUGCAGCAGAUGGGAGGAAGGACAAACAUCUGAAGAUGGAUAGGGUGUUUUGGUCCAGACUCAUUGCUGAAUUUGCCAAACUCAAAAUUAUUCCUGUAUUUUCUGGGAAGCAUUCUGCUGCAUUGCACCUCCCUGCACUGCCCCAGAGUGGGGUGAGGACACUGGGUCUGUGCCACAUGUGAACCAGCAGUUCCCAGUUCAUCCUCUCAGUGCUGCAGGAGCUGUCUGCUGUGUGGCACGCCUGGUACAUGGAGAGAAGCCAUCCCACGGCUCCCGUGAUGCCCGGGCUGCGCUCCAGGCACCGCAGGGAUGAGUCUGGCACAGCUGUCAAGAGGACCCCAUGGGUGAGUGGGGAAGAGGAGCAUCCUCCAAGCAGCUGGGUCCUUCUCCCAUAAGAGCAGCCAGGAAGUCUGGUGGGAUUAGCUCAAGGAAUCUCCUGCCCUUGCACCUGAAAGGAGAAGCCACAGAGCUGGGCAGAAGAGGAGGCAAGCCAGUCUCUUCUCAGGGCCCUGAUCUGCCACUGUUUCCUGUCCAGGCUUUUCGUCCUUGGACCUUUCUCCCCAAGCAGUUCCUAGAAUGGGCUGAGACCCUGGAAAAUCCCUGAUGAAGGGCAAAGUCCAGCACCCCAUUCCAUGUUGCUCUAGUGAGGCCCUGGUGCAGCCACCUGGUCCCCAGUGCUGAACCCAGGUGGGUGCCCACCACCUCCAUGCCCAACACUGCUGAGCUUGACUUCCUCCCCAUCCCAACAUUGAGACCAGCAGCCACAACAGCACAGGAGGAUCCAUCCAGCUCCGAAGGCUGCCAUGAGAGAUGAGCCAGAAUCGCCUGCCUUGCCUCCAACAGUCUUUUAAAUCCUCCCAGGGGUGGUGACUCCACCAUUGCCUGGGCAGCCUGUGCCAGGGCUCGACAACCCAUUCAGUGCAGAAAUUUUUUUCUAGUAUCCAGUGUAACCCUCCCCUGGCACCACUUGAGGCUGUUUCCUGUCGCCCUAUCACCCAGGACUUCAUCCAGUGGCCGGGACCGCAUGAGCCAAAGUCAGGAGAGAACCAGGGACUAACGGAGGCACCAGACACAGCCCGAGUUGUGCUGGGGAAUAUUUUGGCCUGCAAUUACUGAUUAAAAAUGUUUUCAUGGAGUCUCACAAAGCAUUUCAUCACUGGGGGAGGCUUUUGGGGUAACCAUGGUGCAGCAGCUCCGAGUUCAUAGGCGAAGCCGCAUCCGGGCCUGCCAGGAGCCCAUCGGAAUCCAAAAGCAGCCAGUUAUCCCAGUCUCUCUCCACCCGCUGGGAGGGAGCCGGAACAAAGGCAUUAGGGAGCAUAAGGAGAUUUACAUGUGCAAAGCUACUUCCAUUUUAAUAAGCCAAAGUGCUGUUAAACAGAGAUUGAUAUUUCUCCCCAAA